Molecule: ribosomal RNA, 255 nt
Filed under: Rhodococcus ruber
Lineage: Bacteria; Bacillati; Actinomycetota; Actinomycetes; Mycobacteriales; Nocardiaceae
Description: partial 16S ribosomal RNA
Rfam family: Bacterial small subunit ribosomal RNA
Source: RNAcentral
UUAGUGGCGAACGGGUGAGUAACACGUGGGUGAUCUGCCCUGCACUUCGGGAUAAGCCUGGGAAACUGGGUCUAAUACCGGAUAGGACCUCGGGAUGCAUGUUCCGGGGUGGAAAGGUUUUCCGGUGCAGGAUGGGCCCGCGGCCUAUCAGCUUGUUGGUGGGGUAACGGCCCACCAAGGCGACGACGGGUAGCCGGCCUGAGAGGGCGACCGGCCACACUGGGACUGAGACACGGCCCAGACUCCUACGGGAGG